Molecule: long non-coding RNA, 716 nt
Organism: Planococcus citri (citrus mealybug)
Lineage: Eukaryota; Metazoa; Arthropoda; Insecta; Hemiptera; Pseudococcidae
Exons: 2
Source: RefSeq, a predicted model, not a curated record
AUUACAACAUCUACAAACAUUUUUCAUAUUUUUAUUUACUUAGCCUACGAAAUGUGACUCCUUACGUCCUUACAUAUGACGUAAUAUUUCAAAAAUUUAUUCUUUAUCAAUUAGGCUGUCACCAUUGUAACAAAAAUAGCACGAUUGUUUACUCGUUUUAUAUUUUUAUGUACGGGUGUGGUGGUAACCUUUUUGUGCUUAUAAAUACCGAACACAAAACGUAUUAAUGCGUAUUCGGCUAAAAAGUUGUCUUCAAGUCGUGAUUGGCUAGCUAAGUACUUCUUUUUUUUCGAAAAAAACUGAACGAGUAGAAGAAAAUUAGCAUUCGUCUGAAUACAAUGUCCAAGUAUUUGGCAGUUGCUAUAAUGGCGGUUUGUAUGCUGAGCUGUUUGCUGUUGGAGCAAGUUAGCGCUGCCCCGAUGCUCAUCCCUGGAACUAAACGUUGAAGUUCGAGUAAGGCACAGGAAAUCAAACUCUGAAGAUGGACACACACAUAAAUAAAAAUCAUCUAUCUUUAUCAAUAGGUAUACCCAGGUAAUAAAAUUCAAAUAAAUCGUUUCAUUCUUUGUAUUUCAAAAAAAAAAAAAAAAAAAAAAAAAAAAAAGGGUUUACGUUACACAAAUUAUAAAUAUCUAUAACUAUGAAUCUGUAUCUACACAUUCAAAAUGUGACUUUUUGAUGAAUUAUAAAAAUCAGAAUAAAGCAUUAUUAAUCAA